AACGCUAGCUACAGGCUUAACACAUGCAAGUCGAGGGGAAACGACAUUGAAAGCUUGCUUUUGAUGGGCGUCGACCGGCGCACGGGUGAGUAACGCGUAUCCAACCUGCCCACCACUUGGGGAUAACCUUGCGAAAGUAAGACUAAUACCCAAUGAUAUCUCUAGAAGACAUCUGAAAGAGAUUAAAGAUUUAUCGGUGAUGGAUGGGGAUGCGUCUGAUUAGCUUGUUGGCGGGGUAACGGCCCACUAAGGCAACGAUCAGUAGGGGUUCUGAGAGGAAGGUCCCCCACAUUGGAACUGAGACACGGUCCAAACUCCUACGGGAGGCAGCAGUGAGGAAUAUUGGUCAAUGGACGAGAGUCUGAACCAGCCAAGUAGCGUGCAGGAAGACGGCCCUAUGGGUUGUAAACUGCUUUUAUAAGGGAAUAAAGUGAGUCUCGUGAGACUUUUUGCAUGUACCUUAUGAAUAAGGACCGGCUAAUUCCGUGCCAGCAGCCGCGGUAAUACGGAAGGUCCGGGCGUUAUCCGGAUUUAUUGGGUUUAAAGGGAGCGUAGGCCGGAGAUUAAGCGUGUUGUGAAAUGUAGACGCUCAACGUCUGCACUGCAGCGCGAACUGGUUUCCUUGAGUACGCACAAAGUGGGCGGAAUUCGUGGUGUAGCGGUGAAAUGCUUAGAUAUCACGAAGAACUCCGAUUG
This 696-nucleotide ribosomal RNA is filed under the name uncultured bacterium. Its description in RNAcentral is "bacterial SSU rRNA". It matches the Rfam family "Bacterial small subunit ribosomal RNA", at positions 32 to 715 of the family's 1533-position model. The record is from RNAcentral.